RNAcentral lists this ribosomal RNA (253 nucleotides) under uncultured bacterium. Its description in RNAcentral is "partial 16S ribosomal RNA". It matches the Rfam family "Bacterial small subunit ribosomal RNA", at positions 524 to 776 of the family's 1533-position model. The record is from RNAcentral.
UACGUAGGGUGCAAGCGUUGUCCGGAAUUAUUGGGCGUAAAGAGCUCGUAGGCGGUCUGUUGCGUCGGCUGUGAAAACCCGGGGCUCAACCCCGGGCCUGCAGCCGAUACGGGCAGACUAGAGUUCGGCAGGGGAGACUGGGAUUCCUGGUGUAGCGGUGAAAUGCGCAGAUAUCAGGAGGAACACCGGUGGCGAAGGCGGUUCUCUGGGCAGUACCUGACGCUGAGGAGCGAAAGUGUGGGGAGCGAACAGG